AAGAUUUCUGCGACCGUUUUAUUAACGCUUUCGUACGUAAUUACUCUUCAAAAUGGGGAAGGAUCGGACGAAAAUGUAAACAAACCGUAGAUGCAAUCUUUUGAAAGAAAAGCUCAGUCAUCUGAGAUGCAGUGUUGCAGCACUGAAAAGCAUUGGGUGCCCAUCAUAGUGUUUCUCUUUGCCUGCAAUCAGGAUACAUCAAAUGACUUUUGAACUGU
Molecule: long non-coding RNA, 218 nt
Organism: Mya arenaria
Lineage: Eukaryota; Metazoa; Mollusca; Bivalvia; Myida; Myidae
Exons: 3
Source: RefSeq, a predicted model, not a curated record